The sequence is a regulatory RNA element, 110 nucleotides long. It matches the Rfam family "PyrR binding site". From Rfam's summary of the family: This family represents the PyrR binding site and terminator structure. This RNA structure is found upstream of a variety of genes involved in pyrimidine biosynthesis and transport. The record is from Rfam.
ACGCCUUUUAAAAGAAAUCCAGAGAGGUUUCCAAGGGUGUAGUACAGCGCGUCAAAGACGAUGCUUGUUUUCUCACACCCUUUCUAUAUCAAGAAAGGGUGUUUUUUAUU